This 455-nucleotide ribosomal RNA is filed under the name uncultured anaerobic ammonium-oxidizing bacterium. Its description in RNAcentral is "bacterial SSU rRNA". It matches the Rfam family "Bacterial small subunit ribosomal RNA", at positions 381 to 826 of the family's 1533-position model. The record is from RNAcentral.
GGGUAACGAAGCGACGCCGCGUGGGUGAGGAAGGCCUUCGGGUUGUAAAGCCCUGUCAGGAGUUAAGAAAUGUAGACUCGCUAAUAUCGGGUCUAUUUGACAAAGGCUCCAAAGGAAGCCACGGCUAACUCUGUGCCAGCAGCCGCGCUAAUACAGAGGUGGCAAGCGUUGUUCGGAAUUAUUGGGCGUAAAGAGCACGUAGGUGGAUUUGUAAGUCAGACGUGAAAGCCUUCUGUUCAACGGAAGAAUUGCAUCUGAAACUACAAACCUUGAGUGUAGGAGGGGAGAAUGGAACUUCUGGUGGAGCGGUGAAAUGCGUAGAUAUCAGAAGGAACGCCGGCGGCGAAAGCGAUUCUCUGGCCUAUUACUGACACUCAGGGUGCGAAAGCUAGGGGAGCAAACGGGAUUAGAUACCCCGGUAGUCCUAGCCGUAAACGAUGGGCACUAAGUAGAGG